GACGAACCACACAAACGUUAUUCGGAAUUACUGGGCUUAAAGGGUGCGUAGGCGGCGCAGAAAGUUGGGUGUGAAAUACCUCGGCUCAACCGAGGAACUGCGCCCAAAACUGCUGUGCUCGAGGAAGAUAGAGGUGAGCGGAACUUACGGUGGAGCGGUGAAAUGCGUUGAUAUCGUAAGGAACACCUGUGGCGAAAGCGGCUCACUGGGUCUUUUCUGACGCUGAUGCACGAAAGCUAGGGGAGCAAACGGG
Molecule: ribosomal RNA, 253 nt
Filed under: uncultured bacterium
Lineage: Bacteria
Description: partial 16S ribosomal RNA
Rfam family: Bacterial small subunit ribosomal RNA
Source: RNAcentral